Molecule: long non-coding RNA, 596 nt
Organism: Sapajus apella (tufted capuchin)
Lineage: Eukaryota; Metazoa; Chordata; Mammalia; Primates; Cebidae
Exons: 2
Source: RefSeq, a predicted model, not a curated record
AGUAUCAUAGCACAGAUUUGGGAUAACCCAACGGAAACGCCACGGGAACCCGGUGGCUAGGAGUAGAACUAGGAUCCCAGGCUGCGAUGGCCCCGCCUUUUCAGUCUCCUUAACUGGUUCCUCUUCCGUUGUUGGGAUUCCUUUGAAUGAGGCUAUGGAGUAUACACUGCCUUCUCUGGACCAGUCUUGCAACUUUUCGACCUGGAUUUGAGCCAACGUUAUUUUGCUUCCUUAAAUAACUACUUUCUCCAGUUAUUUACUGAAAAUGUUCACAUGAGAGAUACGUUGAGUCCUUGCUUUUACUAAAAUGUAGUGAUUGUAAUGACUUUAUUUUCCUAGACUCAGAUAAAAGUCUCACUUCAUUCAUGAAACUUCCUUACAAUCAGCAGUGACCUCUGCCCCAUCUUACGUUUUAACACUUACUAUAUCAUUCAGUAGUCAUUAGCCAUAUACUCUAAUUGUGUAAUCUAAUGUUGCAUAUGCAUUUUAUCUUUCAAACGAAUUAGUCAUAAACUUUUAUGAAUUCUUCAAAGUGCCUGCUUCAGUGUAUGACACAAAAAUUAUCUGUCUCGUUACAAUAUCUAACACCAAGCAGA